Molecule: long non-coding RNA, 332 nt
Filed under: Helianthus annuus (common sunflower)
Lineage: Eukaryota; Viridiplantae; Streptophyta; Magnoliopsida; Asterales; Asteraceae
Description: Bacterial small subunit ribosomal RNA
Rfam family: Bacterial small subunit ribosomal RNA
Source: RNAcentral
UUGAAGGUAUGGCUGAGUGGCUUUAAGGCAUUGGUUUGCUAAAUCGACAUACAAGAAGAUUGUAUCAUGGGUUCAAAUCCCAUUUCCUCCUGGAAUCGCUAGUAAUCGCGGAUCCGCAUGCCGCGGUGAAUAUGUACCCGGGCCUUGUACACAACCGCCCGUCACACCCUGGGAAUAGGUUUCGCCCGAAGCAUCGGACCAAUGAUCACCCAUGACUUCUGUGUACCACUAGUGCCACAAAGGCUUUUGGUGGUCUUAUUGGCGCAUACCACGGUGGGGUCUUCGACUGGGGUGAAGUCGUAACAAGGUAGCCGUAGGGGAACCUGUGGCUG